RNAcentral lists this ribosomal RNA (241 nucleotides) under uncultured Actinomycetales bacterium. Its description in RNAcentral is "partial 16S ribosomal RNA". It matches the Rfam family "Bacterial small subunit ribosomal RNA", at positions 89 to 334 of the family's 1533-position model. The record is from RNAcentral. Lineage: Bacteria; Bacillati; Actinomycetota; Actinomycetes; Actinomycetales.
ACUCGAGUGGCGAACGGGUGAGUAACACGUGGGUGAUCUGCCUUGCACUUCGGGAUAAGCCUGGGAAACUGGGUCUAAUACCGGAUAGGACCAUGCUUUAGUGUGUGUGGUGGAAAGUUUUUCGGUGCAAGAUGGGCCCGCGGCCUAUCAGCUUGUUGGUGGGGUAAUGGCCUACCAAGGCGACGACGGGUAGCCGGCCUGAGAGGGUGUACGGCCACAUUGGGAUUGAGACACGGCCCAG